This 279-nucleotide ribosomal RNA is filed under the name uncultured bacterium. Its description in RNAcentral is "partial 16S ribosomal RNA". It matches the Rfam family "Bacterial small subunit ribosomal RNA", at positions 506 to 784 of the family's 1533-position model. The record is from RNAcentral.
UGCCAGCCGCCGCGGUAAUACGGAGGGUGCAAGCGUUAUCCGGAAUCAUUGGGUUUAAAGGGUCCGCAGGCGGAUGUAUAAGUCAGUGGUGAAAGCCUACAGCUUAACUGUAGAACUGCCAUUGAUACUGUACAUCUUGAAUUCGGUCGAAGUGGGCGGAAUGUGUCAUGUAGCGGUGAAAUGCAUAGAUAUGACACAGAACACCGAUAGCGAAGGCAGCUCACUAGGCCUGAAUUGACGCUCAGGGACGAAAGCGUGGGGAGCGAACAGGAUUAGAUA